CAGUAGCCACGGGAAUACGAAGGGUGCAAGCGUUAAUCGGAAUUACUGGGCGUAAAGCGUGCGUAGGCGGUGAGUUAAGUCUGCUGUGAAAUCCCCGGGCUCAACCUGGGAAUGGCAGUGGAUACUGGCUCGCUAGAGUGUGUCAGAGGAUGGUGGAAUUCCCGGUGUAGCGGUGAAAUGCGUAGAGAUCGGGAGGAACAUCAGUGGCGAAGGCGGCCAUCUGGGACAACACUGACGCUGAGGCACGAAAGCGUGGGGAGCAAACAGGAUUAGAUACCCCCGUAGUCCCUGUCUCUUAUAC
RNAcentral lists this ribosomal RNA (301 nucleotides) under uncultured bacterium. RNAcentral describes it as "partial 16S ribosomal RNA". It matches the Rfam family "Bacterial small subunit ribosomal RNA", at positions 509 to 807 of the family's 1533-position model. The record is from RNAcentral.